UUUGAUUUUUUGUUUUGAUUAUUGUGAAAUUUUGGGUUUGAAUUUGGAUACUUAACAUUUAGGUUAUUUAUUUAAUUUUCAGUUUUGAUUUUUGUGAAAUUUGGGUUUGGAUUUUGUGGUGUAAUAUGUAGAUAAUAUAUAUAUAUAUAUAUAUAUAUUUUAUGUACAAUUGAGAAUCUCGGAGUGAUUCAGAAAUUGUUGAUGCUAAGCCUCUUGUGCUUUCAAGAGGAACAUUGCAGACUGCUGAUUCAAAGGAACCAUUUGCAAGAAAAUGAGUUGGAGCAGCCUAACCUUGAAAAAGGUCUAAAGACGGGUACAAGUAUUGUUUAAGAAAUCAAGUGCAAGCUUUAUGCGAAGUUCCAUGCACUAAUUUUUGCCCAUUUGUUUAGAAGAAAAGGUUUUGAAGUAUCCCAUGACUGAUUGAAAAAAAAUGUAUCUUGAAGUUAGCAAUGCAAAAUUCGCUAAUUUUCAGUUUAACUAUUGAUAGAGAUUUGAUAUAAUCUAGCUUGUAGGGCAACUUAGACAUUUAUUUGCGAAGUUUGUAGCAAAUUUUUUAUAUUUUUUGUAAUUGGCUUAGAAGAUACCUGAAGAUGUUGGUUUUGUGUGUGCAUGUUUGAAUAUUUGUUUAGUUAAACAGUGAUCAUAUAUGUAAUAUAUUAUUGACAUUAUGAAAAUACGUUUAAUGAAUUUCUAUUUUCUGUGUAA
Molecule: long non-coding RNA, 705 nt
Organism: Quercus robur (English oak)
Lineage: Eukaryota; Viridiplantae; Streptophyta; Magnoliopsida; Fagales; Fagaceae
Exons: 2
Source: RefSeq, a predicted model, not a curated record